CGUGCCCCGUCUUUCGCGCCAGAAGAAUUCGAUACUAAAUCGAAAUUUAAUUGAAAUUUGCGAAAGAAAUAUGGAGAAUGCAAUGCGUCUAGUACAAUUAUCUGUUAGGACCAAAUCUGUUUUUCUCUUAUUCAAAACAAACGUCUUUCAAUUUUUAUCAUUUUGUAUUCCAUCUUUUCGUGCCCCGUCUUUCGCGCCAGAAGAUUUCAAUUCUAAAUCGAAAUUUAAUUGAAAUUUGCGAA
Colletes gigas is the source of this 242-nucleotide long non-coding RNA. RefSeq lists it as uncharacterized. The record is from RefSeq and is a predicted model, not a curated record. Lineage: Eukaryota; Metazoa; Arthropoda; Insecta; Hymenoptera; Colletidae. The transcript has 3 exons.